GGUUGGCGCCUCUGGCGACGAAGCAUUGUGAACCUGGUCAGGCCCGGAAGGGAGCAGCCACAGCAGUGUUUUCGGGUGCACAGAGUCACGCUGGUUGAC
This 99-nucleotide signal recognition particle RNA is filed under the name Gammaproteobacteria bacterium. Its description in RNAcentral is "signal recognition particle sRNA small type". It matches the Rfam family "Bacterial small signal recognition particle RNA". Rfam says of the family: The signal recognition particle (SRP) is a universally conserved ribonucleoprotein involved in the co-translational targeting of proteins to membranes. Archaeal SRP consists of a 7S RNA and homologues of the eukaryotic SRP19 and SRP54 proteins. The record is from RNAcentral. Lineage: Bacteria; Pseudomonadati; Pseudomonadota; Gammaproteobacteria.